CAAACAGUUCUUCAGCUUAGUUUUCCUACUAAGAAGAGUUACUAUUUGACACCGACCGUGCCUAGAGCAAGUGGCAAAGGUCUUGGUGGUUGGUACUCGAAACCCAAGUUCGAAUCCUAGUUGAUUCACAUUUCUUUAUUUCUAAAUGAAAUAAAACGAAACGAAUAGUGUGCUACCUAUCUCUCUCUCAAAAAAAAAAAAAAAAAACACUCUGGUGGAUUAGAUACAAAAAAAAUAAACAAAGCGGAUAGCGUACUAUCUAUCUCUCAAAAAAAAAGUUACUAUUUGACAUUUUGCUCAUUUAAUGACUUUUCAAAACCCAUAUCUGACUUAAA
Molecule: long non-coding RNA, 335 nt
Filed under: Ananas comosus (pineapple)
Lineage: Eukaryota; Viridiplantae; Streptophyta; Magnoliopsida; Poales; Bromeliaceae
Description: long non-coding RNA (ACOM_LNC020707)
Source: RNAcentral